Molecule: long non-coding RNA, 1370 nt
Filed under: Mus spicilegus (steppe mouse)
Lineage: Eukaryota; Metazoa; Chordata; Mammalia; Rodentia; Muridae
Description: lncRNA (ENSMSIG00000019399.1)
Source: RNAcentral
CUUUCACAGAUACAUGGUAGCUCCAGGUCUAAGAAGCCCCGAUGAGCUGCAAAGAUCAGAGAAACCCCGCAGUUCUUCCACCAGUUUGUUCUUGGAGACACACAUGGUUAUCCACCUACAGGACAAUUUGAUGAGUUUCUGCCAUAUUAAUUACUCCACGCCGCUGUUCUACAGUGAUCCUUCAACAAUCCAAACCCAGUGAACGCAUGUGUGAACCUUUCUGCUCUUGAAGGGACGAUCGGAAAUGGAGAUUCACAAGCACCCAGCAAAAGUUUCCAUUUCUGCACUUACUUUCUUCCCCUGACACGGUGCACAAAAAUUUCUGCACAGACCUUGUUUGUUUAAUACCAUGUUGCUUCUUGCAAUUAAAAAAGAAAGAAAAAUCUUUCUAAAAUAUCUUUGUAACUCAAGAGUCUUUCCUUGGAUACCCUCCCCUUCCUUCAAUUAGUAUGCAUUGUAUAAUAAUCAAUAUGUGUGUUACCAGGCAAUAUUACCUUUGAUGCUUGAGUCUUCUUAAUUUUGUCUUGAGUCAUUAAAGAGAUCUAAUGGGCAAUGGUUCAUUUAGUUUCCCAAAUAUCCUUCCUCUGGUGUUGAGCUCCGUCUUCUUAAUGAACUAGACAACAGUCAUUAUUACUGACAGAUCUCUCUCCCUCCCAGUUCGUCAGACUAUAUAGCUUGAGCGCUCCUGCCCUUGUUUUUCAGCCAGAAGUCACCUCUGUGUGUCAUUUUCAUCUUUCACAGAGUCCUUGGUAACCUUUGAAGCCAUUUGGGAACAAGGCAUGCAUAUUCCAAGAGCCAGAUUUCAGAGUCAAAUUACAGCUCCACCCAUUCUCUGUACCCUGGGAGGCCAUUAACCAGAAAGGCUUGUGUAGCAAAGUCAGAUGCUAGAAUCUGAGCUUCUCUGCUCUUUGUUUCACCUUCAACUCUGGUCUGUUGAUUCAGUCUUUGUAGCCCUGUGUGCUUUAAUGGCAGACUGUGACCAGGUGGGAGCUGGGUAAUACAGAUGCCCCAUUUGUAUCUGGGUAUCUCCGUUUGCUUAUAUGUGUGUGUUGAUUAUGUGUUCUAGGCCAGAUAUUAUGGAAAGUAAUUUAUACCUAAUCCACAAAGCAAUUCUUCAAAGGAGACAUUAGGAUGGAUUCACUGCAGGUAAGACAAGAGGUGGUGGUGGGCUGGCGAGAUGGCUCAGUGGGUAAGAGCAAUGACUGCUCUUCCAAAGGUCCUGAGUUUCAAAUCCCAGCAACCACAUGGUGGCUCACAACUUCCCGUAAUGAGAACUGACGCCCUCUUCUGGUUCUGUUUCGCCUGAAAUCAGCUAUAGUGUACUUAUGUAUAAUAAUAAAAAAUCUUUUUACUUAAAUCUUUAAGGAAAA